RNAcentral lists this transfer RNA (72 nucleotides) under Candidatus Gottesmanbacteria bacterium. Its description in RNAcentral is "tRNA-His". It matches the Rfam family "tRNA". Rfam says of the family: Transfer RNA (tRNA) molecules are approximately 80 nucleotides in length. The record is from RNAcentral. Lineage: Bacteria; Candidatus Gottesmaniibacteriota.
GUGGUUGUAGCUCAAUGGUAGAGCACAGGUCUGUGGAGCCUGGAGUUGCGGGUUCGAGUCCCGUCAGCCACC